UGGCAGGGCAGCAUUAGUGCGGCUGCAGUCAGGCUCUGCAAAAAAUGGACCCUUCGUACACCACCGAGUCUCCCAGAGCCACGGUGGGUGGCUCUGGUGGCAGCAGGGAGGUUGCCCCAGGAGCCCGGCCUCCGUCAGGUUUUGCCAGCGCUGCGGCCAGCGAGGUCUGCCUGCAGAUCGUCACCGCCUGCGAGGCCAGGGUCAGAAAAAGGCACAGCAUCGGAUAGGCAAAAGGGACUGCUGCUCUUCUUGGUGACACUGGUCUGUCAAAAACAGGACACCAGCAGCAGCUGGCACCUGGCUGUGAUGGCACUGGAGAGAUGCAGGGAGGUCAAUGCUGAGCUUGCAAUUGCAUCAAGUGCCAGACUCCAAAAAAGGGACUCAGGAUGCAGUUCAGCAACACUUUCUGCAUUCGUUCCCUCUAACAUGAGGCUUCUAACUGAGAUAUCACCCUCGCGCUGUGUGGACACAGAUGAGACCUCCCAGAGGGCUGUCGCUUCUCGUGUGGGCUGAAUCAGACUGCAAGGAAUCCCAAUUUUUGAAACUGUUCUGGGUGCAACCAUCUCUCUCCACUGAGUGUAGAGGAAACCUUGGGUGACUCUGCUGCUAUCUUGGACUCUGAACGAAAGCCUCUAACGUUAAGUGUGAAGAUACAGGCCUAACCACCCAUGUUAACCAUAAAUCAUCUGCUUAAAAUUAAACAUGUGCCUCAGUGAUCUGCAGAUGCUGCUCUUUAAAAAAAAACCUACCUGUAAUAAUUUGAAUAAGUAUUAGUCAUUAAAUGUGAGUAUAUUAAAUGACCCACACAGCUGCAGUAACAUGGCUUUUGAAUGGCUCCCGUAUCAAAUCAGUCACAGUUUAUGCUGGUGGGACAAGGCAUUUGGUUCUUGACUCUGGAUUUUUGUUUCCCACCUAUCUCAGGCAAGUGACAGAAAAAAGCACAAAGUGCUUGUCUUUAGCUUGCAGAGGCAUUUUAAGACAGGAAGCAAGUUUAAGUGGAGUUUGGCAUCCCAUGGGGUGAACUUUUCCCGACAGCCAAAGGAAUGAUAUUGAACACUAUCAUUCUCUGCUGUGCACAUCUUUGCCUGACCUUAUCCCGGAUGCAUCCCCUUUGACUUACUUCUUUAAAGAGACUAAUAGAUUUUCUUUAGCUUGAGGCAGAGCAAACCUCUGCUGGAUUGAACUAAUGUAGAAGUAUUAGAAAGGAUUGGUGCUGGGAUUUUUUUCCCCUCUUCCCCUUGCUGUGCAAUAGGAAGAAAAUGUAUGACCUAAAUCUGCCAAGCACCUUCAAAGGGAAGGAAGAAACACAUGUGGAAAAGCGUUAGAAAGCCACCCAGCUCCUUUUAAUUAUGAUGAGAAUGCCAAGAUUGCUAAACGAAUAGAAAAUAAACGGAAUAAGUAUUAAAUGAUUAUGGUUUCC
RNAcentral lists this long non-coding RNA (1420 nucleotides) under Apteryx owenii (little spotted kiwi). RNAcentral's name for it is "lncRNA (ENSAOWG00000014888.1)". Lineage: Eukaryota; Metazoa; Chordata; Aves; Apterygiformes; Apterygidae. The record is from RNAcentral.